Molecule: small RNA, 726 nt
Filed under: Pan troglodytes (chimpanzee)
Lineage: Eukaryota; Metazoa; Chordata; Mammalia; Primates; Hominidae
Description: retained intron
Source: RNAcentral
ACAUUACUGAGAUAUGGAAUCAUAAUAUUUUCUCAAUGAUAUGAGUUUCUAGUACUCAAUAGGAUAUGAUGACAAUUAUCUUUAUACUACCUUCCUAACUUUUUAAAGCACUUUCAUUUUCCAUGCACACAAUAGUACUGGGCGGUGCUGAACUAGGGAAUAAAUGUUUGUGAUUAUUUUAUCAGUGAAAAAAGUGAGAAGCUACUUCAGCAGAUCAAGAAUUGGUCAAGGGUAUGGCUGCCACUGGGAGGCAGGUUUCCUGACUCCCAGCCAGUGCUUUUUCUCUUAUGACAUUGUGGUUACUGGUAAAUGUUUUCACUUGUCAUCUCCAUUUCUCACAUUCCUUUGUUAUGAGUUUUCUCCUAGGGUCUGGAUGGCAUGGUGCUCCUCUUAAGUGUGCUGGAAUUCUGCAUUGCUGUGUCCCUCUCUGCCUUUGGAUGUAAAGUGCUCUGUUGUACCCCUGGUGGGGUUGUGUUAAUUCUGCCAUCACAUUCUCACAUGGCAGAAACAGCAUCUCCCACACCACUUAAUGAGGUUUGAGGCCACCAAAAGAUCAACAGACAAAUGCUCCAGAAAUCUAUGCUGACUGUGACACAAGAGCCUCACAUGAGAAAUUACCAGAAUCCAACUUCGAUACUGAUAGACUUGUUGAUAUUAUUAUUAUAUGUAAUGCAAUUAUGAACUGUGUGUGUAUAGAGAGAUAAUAAAUUCAAAAUUAUGUUCUCA